GCCUUUCGCCUUGAUAACACUGAUUAUACCCAUUAAAAAUAAACAUAGAGUACCACUACAAAUGUCCUCUUUCUCAAGUGGCCAUACAUGUUUUCUUUGCUCUCAAUCAUUUGUUCUUUCAAUAGUUUGCUGUAAUUAUUAUGCUUCAAUUAUCAAUUUUUUUAUUUGUUCUUUCAAAAGUUUGUUGUAAUUAUUAUACUUUAAUUAUCAAUUUUUUUUUCUAAAUAAUCCAUUCUUUAUUCAAUCAUCGUUAGAUUUGUGCAUUAUUAUUUUGAUUUAUUUAUUUUGUGAUUUAUUCAUGAUAGACUAUCAGUGUUAGCCAAUUCAAGAUUUAUCAUGAUGAGUUUACCAUUUAAUAAAUUAUCUAAUAGAAAAGGGUAUUUUUGUACUUCUAAUAAUUAUUUACCUUUCUAUCACCUCUUUCUAAACAUAAAGAAUUUACAUUAUCUCUCUUUACCUUUCCAUUAAUUCACCCAUUUUCAAACAUGAGAUUUUUUUUAUUGUUACUCUCUUUAUCCUUUCUUACCCUUCUAUUAUUUACCAUUCCCUCAGCUCAUCGAAACAGGCCCUUAGAAACAGGUAGAGUGCACUUACAUGACGAGUUGGUCCUUUUUCUUUCCCAGCCUAGGUGGUUGUGUUUGAUAUAUUUAAUAUUAUU
This 658-nucleotide unclassified non-coding RNA is filed under the name Hevea brasiliensis (rubber tree). Lineage: Eukaryota; Viridiplantae; Streptophyta; Magnoliopsida; Malpighiales; Euphorbiaceae. The record is from RNAcentral.